RNAcentral lists this ribosomal RNA (738 nucleotides) under uncultured Candidatus Poseidoniales archaeon. Its description in RNAcentral is "bacterial SSU rRNA". It matches the Rfam family "Archaeal small subunit ribosomal RNA", at positions 1 to 745 of the family's 1478-position model. Lineage: Archaea; Methanobacteriati; Thermoplasmatota; Candidatus Poseidoniia; Candidatus Poseidoniales. The record is from RNAcentral.
UCCGGUUGAUCCUGCCGGAGGCUACCGCUAUUGGAGUUCGAUUAAGCCAUGCGAGUCGCGAGAAAUUAGAUUCUCGGCGUACCGCUCAGUAACACGUGGGUAACCUGCCCUAUGCUGGAUAAUAACCUCGGGAAACUGAGAAUAAUGAUCCAUAGUUCACUACGCCUGGAACGGUGAGUGGAUGAAAGCUCCGGCGGCAUAGGAUGGGCCUGCGGCGUAUCAGGUUGUAGGGGGUGUAACGUACCCUCUAGCCCUCUACGCGUACGGGUGUUGGGAGACAUAGCCCGGAGAUGGAUUCUGAGACACGAAUCCAGACCCUACGGGGUGCAGCAGGCGCGAAAACUUGGCAAUGCGAGAAAUCGUGACCAGGGAACUCCAAGUGCAUCGGGUAAGACCGGUGCUUUUCUUGACUCUAAAAAGGUCUUGGAAUAAGGGGUGGGUAAGGACGGUGCCAGCCGCCGCGGUAAUACCGGCGCCUCAAGUGGUAGUCGCUUUUAUUGGGCCUAAAACGUCCGUAGCCGGUCUGAUACAUUCGUGGGUAAAUCAACCAGCUCAACUGGUUGAAUUCUGCGAGGACGGUCAGACUUGGGACCGGGAGAGGUGUGGGGUACGCUCAGGGUAGGGGUAAAAUCCUGUCAUCCUGAGCGGACCACCUGUUGCGAAGGCGCCACACUAGAACGGAUCCGACGGUCAGGGACGAAGCCUAGGGGCACGAACCGGAUUAGAUACCCGGGUAGU